CGAUUAGAGUUUGAUCCUGGCUCAGAUUGAACGCUGGCGGCAUGCCUUACACAUGCAAGUCGAACGGCAGCGCGGGGGCAACCCUGGCGGCGAGUGGCGAACGGGUGAGUAAUGUAUAGGAACGUGCCUUGGAGUGGGGGAUAACUAGUCGAAAGAUUAGCUAAUACCGCAUACGACCUAUGGGUGAAAGUGGGGGAUCGCAAGACCUCAUGCUCUUUGAGCGGCCGAUAUCUGAUUAGCUAGUUGGUGGGGUAAAGGCCCACCAAGGCGACGAUCAGUAGCUGGUCUGAGAGGACGACCAGCCACACUGGGACUGAGACACGGCCCAGACUCCUACGGGAGGCAGCAGUGGGGAAUUUUGGACAAUGGGGGCAACCCUGAUCCAGCAAUGCCGCGUGUGUGAAGAAGGCCUUCGGGUUGUAAAGCACUUUUGUCCGGAAAGAAAUCGUCCUGGCUAAUAUCCGGGAUGGAUGACGGUACUGGAAGAAUAAGCACCGGCUAACUACGUGCCAGCAGCCGCGGUAAUACGUAGGGUGCGAGCGUUAAUCGGAAUUACUGGGCGUAAAGCGUGCGCANGCGGUUGUGCAANACANAUGUGAAAUCCCCGGGCUUAACCUGNGAACUGCAUUUGUGACUGCACGGCUANAGUGUGUCA
Molecule: ribosomal RNA, 655 nt
Filed under: uncultured microorganism
Description: bacterial SSU rRNA
Rfam family: Bacterial small subunit ribosomal RNA
Source: RNAcentral